UACGUAGGGUGCGAGCGUUAAUCGGAAUUACUGGGCGUAAAGCGUGCGCAGGCGGUUGUGCAAGUCUGAUGUGAAAGCCCCGGGCUUAACCUGGGAACGGCAUUGGAGACUGCACGACUAGAGUACGUCAGAGGGGGGUAGAAUUCCACGUGUAGCAGUGAAAUGCGUAGAGAUGUGGAGGAAUACCGAUGGCGAAGGCAGCCCCCUGGGAUGAUACUGACGCUCAUGCACGAAAGCGUGGGGAGCAAACAGGAUUAGAUACCCUGGUAGUCCACGCCCUAAACGAUGUCAAUUAGCUGUUGGGGGUUUGAAUCCUUGGUAGCGUAGCUAACGCGUGAAAUUGACCGCCUGGGGAGUACGGCCGCAAGGUUAAA
This 374-nucleotide ribosomal RNA is filed under the name uncultured bacterium. RNAcentral's name for it is "bacterial SSU rRNA". It matches the Rfam family "Bacterial small subunit ribosomal RNA", at positions 524 to 898 of the family's 1533-position model. The record is from RNAcentral.